Molecule: ribosomal RNA, 643 nt
Filed under: uncultured bacterium
Lineage: Bacteria
Description: bacterial SSU rRNA
Rfam family: Bacterial small subunit ribosomal RNA
Source: RNAcentral
CGCGGCCUAUCAGCUUGUUGGUGGGGUGAUGGCCUACCAAGGCGUCGACGGGUAGCCGGCCUGAGAGGGCGAUCGGCCACACUGGGACUGAGACACGGCCCAGACUCCUGCGGGAGGCAGCAGUGGGGAAUAUUGCGCAAUGGGCGCAAGCCUGACGCAGCGACGCCGCGUGGGGGAUAACGGCCUUCGGGUUGUAAACCCCUUUCAGCUCCGACCAAGGCUCUGUUUCUGCAGGGUUGAGUGUAGGGGUAGAAGAAGCACCGGCUAACUACGUGCCAGCAGCCGCGGUAAUACGUAGGGUGCGAGCGUUGUCCGGAUUUAUUGGGCGUAAAGGGCUCGUAGGCGGCUUGUCGCGUCGGGAGUGAAAGCCCGCUGCUUAACGGCGGGUUGGCUUCCGGUACGGGCAGGCUGGAGUGUGGUAGGGGAGACUGGAAUUCCUGGUGUAGCGGUGGAAUGCGCAGAUAUCAGGAGGAACACCGGUGGCGAAGGCGGGUCCCUGGGCCAUUACUGACGCUGAGGAGCGAAAGCGUGGGGAGCGAACAGGAUUAGAUACCCUGGUAGUCCACGCCGUAAACGUUGGGCGCUAGGUGUGGGGACUGUUUCCACGGUCUCCGUGCCGGAGCUAACGCAUUAAGCGCCCCGC